Panicum hallii is the source of this 2190-nucleotide long non-coding RNA. RefSeq lists it as uncharacterized. NCBI's taxonomy places the organism in Eukaryota, Viridiplantae, Streptophyta, Magnoliopsida, Poales, Poaceae. The transcript has 2 exons. The record is from RefSeq and is a predicted model, not a curated record.
UUUCAUUCCUCGUACUGAGUUUGGUUUAUAUGCAGCUCAGGUACAGUGCAUUUAGGAUGUGCAGCCUCCCAAGUGAUUAAGCUAGAAGAAUUCAGACAUGUGCUUGUGGUGUUCAGAUUAUGGGGAAUGAGUUCAGAUGCUCAGACACUGCAGAGUAAAUAGUUCAGACUUGAGAUGUUCGGAGGGUUCAGAUCUUCAGAGACAUCAUUGUUCUUCUAAUCUGGUUUCAGUAACUCAUGUUAUUCUUAUUUUUGCCAUCUCGUCAUAUUUAUCCGCUCAUUCUUGCAACAGCUUCAGAUGAUACUAUAUCUUGUAAGGUCUGUUACCUGCAUUAGUUUCAGAUGCUACUAUAUCUUGUAUGGAGUAUAUAUACAUAUAGAAAUAAAUCACUUGCAUAUAUUCUAGAUAAGAGUGUACACUGUAGUUUAUACAGGUGUGGAGAAGAAUAUUUAAAGAGAAAAGAAGUGUAUAUACUGCAGUAGUGAUUGUAUGUACUAAUACAGAAGUCUAAGAAUGUGGUAAAUUCGAUUAUCUAUACUAAUGCAGUAUGGUGCCAUCACCUGAGGCUUGUAGUUUAUUAUAAGACAUAGUUAUAUUUCACAUACUCUUAAAACUUUCUUUCCCUCUUAAUUGAAAGGCAGAGCUCCUGCCAUUUGCGUUCAAAAAAAGAGUUAUAUUUCACAUAACCAUUGCAAGUUCUGCUUCAACAGAGAAUUUGUGUCUUCAAACUUUAUCCAGAUCUACAAUACUUGUAUUUCUUGAUGACAAAUCUCUAGAAAUACUAUGGUCUUGUUUUCUAUAACCACAUCACCACAUCCAUGGUAUACAAAUAUACAACAUGGCCUUGCUGGUGGGUAUGUCUCAAGGAUUGUUUCUUAAACUAAACAGAAUCUGCAGUACUGUUAAAUUCUGUUAUUAUCGUGCGUGUUAGGAAGAAAUCCUUGAACCCUAUGGCUCCAAUACACAAAUAUAGCUCCAUAUCAGAUGUACUGACCACUACCUGCUGGUGAUGAAACUUUUGUGCAUACAAACAAUUAUGAGUAAUAAUUUAGUUAGUAUAUGGUACAUAUUGCUAAGUGAGUGUCUGCGCGUGAAAUAUUUUUAACAAGUACUUGAGUACUAAGUGGCCCCAUCUUGUUUGGAUGACCAUAUUGCAUAGAUAUCAGUGAAUAUAUAGUGUAGUAUAUAGUGAGUUAGUAAAUAUGUACUGUAUACUAAUUUAUUGCUACUUGCAUUGCAAUCAGUGGUUUACUCUUGUCAGGUCUAACCUCUACUACUAAUUAAGGAACCACAUGCUGUAGUGCACCUGCAUGAUGGUACUCUUGUCAGGGUGGACUGCAAACCCAGAUGUCUAUUUUUAUUUUCAAAACCAAACUAGAAAACUCCAUCAGCUGCCUGAACUCCAUCCUUGUCGCUCCAUCCACCAUCCUCCAAACCAUCUGUUUUGUUCAGUUUGAUUUAAUUUUACCUCAAUGCUCCACAUCAAGCCCCUCUUUCUAGAUUUGCUUUGAUAUGUAGGACUUUGAGGGUUGCAUUUUGAGAGCAUCAACAGUUAUUUUCUUCUUUCGCACAACAGACUUUGCUUCUUUUUUCUAGAAAAACUUUCCCUAGUAUGCUGAGAUGGAUAGACGUACUAGUUUAUAUUAUUAAUCCAAUUAUUCUAUUAAUUGCUCAUUUUAAAAUUAAAUUUGUGCUGCAUUUUGGUUGUGUUAUAGCAAGAUAUUUAUGUUAUUUAUUUUUCUCUGUUUCCUUCCUCUCACCACUAAGCUCAGAGUACUAAUAGUUUGUUGCCUUUUCAGCUUUAACAAGUCUCAAGAUGGUACAUUCAAAGUUAAUAUUAAUCUUCAAGUCCCUCCAUAGUGGGAAGCGAAAGUGCUGUAUUGUUCUCACGCAGAGAAGAAUAUACUGCCAUGGUUUCCUUCCUUAAUGAUGGAAGGACAGCGCAGGAGAUGAACCAGUGGCAGUCCAGCAAAGCAAGGAUAUGAGUCAGGACCUGGGCAUAGCGUGUUGCAACAGAGCAAAGCAUGCAGCUUCUACAUCCAGAAUGCAAGAGGAACAAAGUGAUAUGUGUGCCUAGACACCAUGAAUGAGCACGUGGACCGGUGAUCUGUGAUCUGUAGCUCUCCCUUGUAACUGUACUUGAGGCCAAACAUGGUGAGACGGAUCUCAUAGGCAUCACGGGAUCUGUUA